CUUCCCAUUGCUGGCCUAGAAAAUACACACAGCUUAAAUUAUGGACGUUGUAACUUCGCAGAGGCUGAUCUGUGCUGGAGGGUCGGGGGUGCGUCCAGGUGCAGCAGAUGGGACUGUUGCCAAAGUGUGUCAGAUAAGCUCUGCGUGGUGCUGUUAAAGGCAUGGCUUGCACAGGAAACGGCCUGUUUGCUUUGGUGAUGCCAGCAGGGCAUUGCAGGCACAGCUCAACUGCUUCUCAGAGCUGCUGCUGCCAUUCCAGACACUGCGACGUCCAUGCAGACGUGGGACUGCCAUAGGAUUGAGCCCCUCUGGCCUUGCCUCCCUUUGUCUGGUGCCAGGAAUGCUGCAGGACACCAGUGACAAAUAACACAGCAAAACAGACUGCACAUCUGAGGCAGCUUUGAGCCCAUGCCAUGCAUGCAGCUUUCCUCUGUGCAGCACUUCCUGGAGCUCAGCUCAGCAGAGCUUCUGCAGGAUUGGAGUCUAAAUGAGGCCAUGCUGUAAAGUGAGGCACAGCAGCAAGGAGGAGCUGAGAGGGAGAUGAGUGCAGCAGUUAGAAGACACCACGUGGACUUAGCGAUUUGCAAGCACUCUCUGCCUGGUACCCCAGCUGAGGGUUUCUCUCUCACUGCAGCAGCACUUCCUGAGGGAAUCUGCUUCCUCUACCUGAUUUCUCUGGUUGUUGGAGCUGCUGAACUUCCUCCAGAAGAGGCCCAGCAGCAGCAGCCAAUGAACUUCAUGUGACCCCCUCCCAGCAGCACCACUCAUUUGUUUAAUCAGCGAUUAAACUGGAAUUUUACUUCACUUCCAAACACGCUCUAUCAGUCCU
Long non-coding RNA from Gallus gallus (chicken), 829 nucleotides. NCBI's taxonomy places the organism in Eukaryota, Metazoa, Chordata, Aves, Galliformes, Phasianidae. The record is from Ensembl.